GACGAACGCUGGCGGCGUGCUUAACACAUGCAAGUCGAACGGAAAGGCCCUGAUUUUGUGGGGUGCUCGAGUGGCGAACGGGUGAGUAACACGUGAGUAACCUGCCCUUGACUUUGGGAUAACUUCAGGAAACUGGGGCUAAUACCAGAUAGGAGCUCCUGCUGCAUGGUGGGGGUUGGAAAGUUUCGGCGGUUGGGGAUGGACUCGCGGCUUAUCAGCUUGUUGGUGGGGUAGUGGCUUACCAAGGCUUUGACGGGUACGCGGCAUGAGAGGGUGAACGGCCACAUUGGGACUGCGAGACGGCCCAGACUCCUACGGGAGGCAGCAGGGGGGAAUAUUGCACAAUGGGCGGAAGCCUGAUACAGCAACGCCGCGUGCGUGAUGACGUCCUUUGGGUUGUAAACCGCAGUCGCUUGUGACGAAGCGGUUGUGACGGUAAUGGGUAAAGAAGCACCGGCUAACUACGUG
This 468-nucleotide ribosomal RNA is filed under the name uncultured bacterium. Its description in RNAcentral is "partial 16S ribosomal RNA". It matches the Rfam family "Bacterial small subunit ribosomal RNA", at positions 28 to 507 of the family's 1533-position model. The record is from RNAcentral.